Molecule: long non-coding RNA, 3547 nt
Filed under: Homo sapiens (human)
Lineage: Eukaryota; Metazoa; Chordata; Mammalia; Primates; Hominidae
Description: non-protein coding LINC01629:11
Source: RNAcentral
AUACUGAGACUAAGGUAGAAAAAGACACUUCCAAAGGGUGUCAAUGACAAGAGAGAAAUAGACAUAGAGUGGUCACUUCAUUUACCAACCCUGGAACCGCAGACCUCUGGGCUUCCUGAUAAAGAAAAUGGGUACGGCCAAGACCAUAGACCUAGUGAUUGUCAGAUGAACAAUUAGACCCACAGAACCAUCCAAGCUACAGAGGACGCAUUCUGCCUUCCCUUGGAUCCUGUGGUUUGAGGAUGGAGGUCUAGGACCGUGGCAGGCUUUUUGUCCCAUGAGGGAAGGCCAUGGAGCUGAGGAAGGGGAAGAACACACACACCUAAUGGAAUCUCGAGAGAAAGUUCAGACAUCAAAAGACAGAAGCGACAGAGACCCAGAUGGAGUCUCACCCAGCCUGGAGUACAGUAGUAUGAUCUGCAACCUUUGCCUCCCAGGUUCAGGCGAUUCUCCUGUCUCAGCCUCCGGAGUAUCUGGGAUUACAGGCACGUGCCACCACGCCCGGCUAAUUUUUUGUAUUUUUAGUAGAGAUGGGUUUCACCGUGUUAGCCAGGAUGGUCUCGAACUCCUGACCUCGUGAUCUACCCGCCUUGGCCUCCCAAAGUGCUGGGAUUACAGGCAUGAGCUACCGUGCUCGGCCAUGCCUGGCUAAUUUAUAUAUACAUAUAUAUAUAUAUAUAUAUUUUUUUUUUUUUUUUUUUUUUUUUGAGACAGAGUCUUGCUCUGUCACCCAGGUUGGAGUGCAGUGGCAUGAUCUCGGCUCACUGCAAGCUCGCCUCCCAGGUUCACGCCAUUCUCCUGCCUCAGCCUCCUGAGUAGCUGGGACUACAGGCGCCCGCAUGACGCCCGGCUAAUUUUUUGUAUUUUUAGUAGAGACGGGGUUUCACUGUGUUAGCCAGGAUGGUCUCGAUCUCCUGACCUCGUGAUCUGCCCACCUCAGCCUCCGAAAGUGCUGGGAUUACAGACAUGAGCCACCGCACCCAGCCUUAUAUAUAUAUUUUUUAUUAGUGAAGAGGUUUCGCCAUAUUGGCCAGACUGGUCUCGAACUCCUGACCUCAGGUGAUCCACCCACCUCGGCCUCCCAAAGUGCUGGGAUUACAGGUGGGAGCCACCGCACCCUGCCUAAAAUGCAAAAGAUUUUGAAUGGCGAGAAUGGCGACAUGAUGCCACAAGUGGAAAAUUCCACACCUGGCUGCAUGUAAUGGGUUGAAGUCAAAAUGCAGUCAAAAACUUUGUUUCAUGUACAAAAUUAUUAAAAACAUUGUAUAAAAUCACCUUCAGACUAUGUGUAUGUGAAACCUAAGUGAAUUUAAUGGCUAGACUUCAGUUGCAUUCCCAAGAUCUCUCAUUAUGUAUAUGCAAAUAUUUUGAAAUUCAACCUGGUUCCACACAUUUUAGAUAAGGGAUACUCAAGCUGUAAUUAACAAAUAAACUUUUCACAGUCCAAGCAGCCAAAGGCCCACUGUCCCUGUUCCCUCAGCUCACGCCCCCUUCCGUGCACAGCCUUAUCUAAUCCUUCUACCCUUCGUUGUGUUUGGACUUCAGACUCUUUUUUUUUAAGACAAAGUCCCGCUCUGUUGCCCAGGCUGGAGUGCAGUGGCGCGAUCUCAGCUCAACCUCUGCCCCCAGGUUCAAGCAAUUCUCAUGUCUCAGCCUCCCGAGUAGCUGGGAUUACAGACACCCGUCACCACGGCUGGCUAAUUUUUGUAUUUUUAAUGGAGACGGGGUUUCACCAUGUUGGCCAGGCUGGUCUCAAACUCCUGACCUCAGGUGAUCCGCCCCCAUCAGCCUCCCAGGGUUUUGGGAUUACAGGCGUGAGCCACUGCGUUCGGUCUGGACUUCAGAUUCUUGAGCUGGCUGCAAGACUCCAGGUCCCCUGUGAACCACACUCAAUAAUCCCUCCCUAAUCGCUGGUCCCCAGCAGCUCAGAUUGGCUGCUGUUUGUCCAGUGAGGAGGUGGGCAAGGGUGCCCUUGGUUUAUGCCCAUGAUAAAAAGAAAAGCAGCUAUGGUGCAGUAGAUGCUCAGAACUCCAGCGCGCAUCAGCCUCUAGAGAGGGGCCUGGCCUCUGCUUGAACAGUGUAUUUCUUUCUCUCCUUCCUGGACAUACUGCAAUCAAAGCAUUUUCUAAGAGUCGGGUGGGACUCCACAGAUGGUCUUGUCCAAUAGCCUCACUUUGCAGGUGAGAACAAUGCAUCCAGGCCAAGCGUUUUUUCAUUUUACUGCCCGCUACUCUCCAAGUGCAGUCUCUUAACAGUUUCUGAGUCUGAAUGCAACUCUUGUUAACUGCUCAGUAAAGGAAUUCUGUCAGGAAAGCUGCAGUUUACAUCAGUGGUUCUCAGCCUUGAUGACACAUUGAAAUCAUCUGGGGAGAUUUACAAGCUACUGACACCUGGGUCCUGCUCCUAGCGGUUCUGAUUUAUUUUUGUUUGUUUGUUUGUUUUUGGAGUUUCACUCUUGUUGCCCAGGCUGGAGUGCAAUGGUGCCAUCUCGGCUCACUGCAACCUCCGCUUCCCGGGUUCAAGCGAUUCUCUUGCCUCAGCCUCCUGAGUAGCUGGGAUUACAGGCGCCCACCACCAUGCCUGGCUAAGUUUUUGUAUUUUUAGUAGAGACAGGGUUUCACCAUGUUGGCCUGGCUGGCCAGGCCAGUCUCGAACUCCUGAACUCAGGUGAUCCACCCGCCUGAGCUUCCCAAAGUGCUAGGAUUACAGGCAUGAGCCACCGCACCAAGGCUACUGAUUUAUUUUAAUUAGGGUGCAGCAUGAGCACUGGGAUUUUUUUACUCCCCAGGUAUUCCCAAUAUGCAGCCAUAAUUGAGAACCACUAGUCAAUAUGGAGUGUGUGUGUGUGUGUGUGUGUGUGUGUGUGUGUGUGUGUGUACAUUUCUAGGUAUGGGUGAUAUUUGCAUGCAGCACGUAUCUGUGCACAUAGACACAUACACACACGGAAAUCUGGACUUCCCAAUACACAGAGUAAUACAUGCUGAGGUCACCAGCAAAGCAGGACAAUAAAGAAAGUGAGAAAAAAUUUUGAGAGCCAGACACGGUGGCUCAUGCCUGUAAUCCCAGCUUUCAGGGAGGCAGAGGCAGGAAGAUAGCUUGAUCCCAGGAGUUCAAGAUCUACCUGGGCGAUAUAGCGAGACCCCGUUCUCCACAAAAAGGAAAAAAAAACAAAGAAAAAGUUUUUAGAACAUGAUAUUUAAGAAACAAAAAAGUCAUCAUGGAGAAAAUAACAUUUUUUUUUUUUUUUUGAGACAGAGUCUCACUCUGUUGCCCAGGCUGGAGUGCAGUGACGCGAUCUCGGCUCACUGCAACCUCUGCCUCCCGGGUUCAAGUGAUUCUCCUGCUUCAGCCUCUCGAGUAGCUGGGAUUACAGGCACGUGCCACCAUGCCUAGCUAAUUUUUGUAUUUUCAGUAGAUGGGGUUUCACCAUGUUGGCUGGGCUGAUCUCGAACUGCUGACCUCAAGUGAUCUGCCUGCCUCACCCUCCCAAAUGUUGGGAUUACAGGUGUGAGCCACUGUGCCCGGCUAAAAAUCACAUUCUUUAUUG